Molecule: ribosomal RNA, 429 nt
Filed under: bacterium
Lineage: Bacteria
Description: partial 16S ribosomal RNA
Rfam family: Bacterial small subunit ribosomal RNA
Source: RNAcentral
UAGGGAAUCUUCGGCAAUGGGGGCAACCCUGACCGAGCAACGCCGCGUGAGUGAAGAAGGUUUUCGGAUCGUAAAGCUCUGUUGUAAGAGAAGAACGUGUGUGAGAGUGGAAAGUUCACACAGUGACGGUAACUUACCAGAAAGGGACGGCUAACUACGUGCCAGCAGCCGCGGUAAUACGUAGGUCCCGAGCGUUGUCCGGAUUUAUUGGGCGUAAAGCGAGCGCAGGCGGUUUAAUAAGUCUGAAGUUAAAGGCAGUGGCUUAACCAUUGUUCGCUUUGGAAACUGUUAAACUUGAGUGCAGAAGGGGAGAGUGGAAUUCCAUGUGUAGCGGUGAAAUGCGUAGAUAUAUGGAGGAACACCGGUGGCGAAAGCUGCUCUCUGGUCUGUAACUGACGCUGAGGCUCGAAAGCGUGUGGAGCAAACAGG